RNAcentral lists this ribosomal RNA (274 nucleotides) under uncultured bacterium. Its description in RNAcentral is "partial 16S ribosomal RNA". It matches the Rfam family "Bacterial small subunit ribosomal RNA", at positions 523 to 796 of the family's 1533-position model. The record is from RNAcentral.
AUACGUACCGUGCGAACGUUAUUCGGAAUCACUGGGCUUAAGGGGUGCGUAGGCGGGCGUGUAAGUGUCUUGUGAAAUCCCACGGCUCAACCGUGGAACUGCGGGGCAAACUGCGCGUCUUGAGGUCGGCAGAGGCUGCCGGAACUCUAGGUGUAGCGGUGAAAUGCGUAGAUAUCUAGAGGAACGCCAAAGGUGAAGACAGGCAGCUGGGCCGAAUCUGACGCUGAGGCACGAAAGCGUGGGUAGCGAACGGGAUUAGAAACCCCGGUAGUCC